RNAcentral lists this ribosomal RNA (910 nucleotides) under Salmonella enterica subsp. enterica serovar Agona str. SH10GFN094. RNAcentral's name for it is "bacterial LSU rRNA". It matches the Rfam family "Bacterial large subunit ribosomal RNA", at positions 1 to 905 of the family's 2925-position model. Lineage: Bacteria; Pseudomonadati; Pseudomonadota; Gammaproteobacteria; Enterobacterales; Enterobacteriaceae. The record is from RNAcentral.
AGGUUAAGUUAACAAGGGCGCAUGGUGAAUGCCUUGGCACUAGGAGCCGAUGAAGGACGGGACUAACACCGAUAUGCUUCGGGGAGCUGUACGUAAGCUAUGAUCCGGAGAUUUCCGAAUGGGGCAACCCAGCAGUUUUAAUCAACUGUUACCACUAGAUGAAUUCAUAGUCUAGUUGGAGGUAAACGCUGUGAACUGAAACAUCUCAUUAGCAGCAGGAAUAUAAAGAAAUUUCGAUUCCCUAAGUAGCGGCGAGCGAACGGGGAACAGCCCAAACCAAAGUGCUUGCACUUUGGGGUUGUAGGACUGAACAUUUGAGUUACCAAAGAACUUGAUAGUCGAAGGAUUUGGGAAAAUCCGCCAUAGAUGGUGAUAGCCCAGUAGAUUAAAUCAAAUUCUCUCAGUUCAGGAUCCUGAGUACGGCGGAACACGUGAAAUUCCGUCGGAAUCCGGGAGGACCAUCUCCCAAGGCUAAAUACUACCUAGUGACCGAUAGUGAACCAGUACCGUGAGGGAAAGGUGAAAAGCACCCCGGGAGGGGAGUGAAAUAGUUCCUGAAACCAUGUGCCUACAAUAAGUCAGAGCGCGUUAAUGCGUGAUGGCGUGCCUUUUGUAGAAUGAACCGGCGAGUUAUGAUCCCGUGCAAGGUUAAGACUAAAAAGUCGGAGCCGUAGCGAAAGCGAGUCUGAAAUGGGCGCUUUGAGUACGAGGUUAUAGACCCGAAACCAGGUGACCUAUCCAUGUCCAGGUUGAAGGUGCGGUAAAACGCACUGGAGGACCGAACCCGUGUAAGUUGAAAAUUGCUGGGAUGAGGUGUGGAUAGCGGUGAAAUUCCAAACGAACUUGGAGAUAGCUGGUUCUCUCCGAAAUAGCUUUAGGGCUAGCCUCGGAAUUAGGAUCAUGGAGGUAG